GUGAAGUCGACAGCACGGCUAACAUCGUCUUCGCUUGUAACAUUACAGUGGAAGAAACAGGCGUAGAGAUCACCACCUAGAGACUCACAGAGAAGAUGACCGAGCUUGUCCUGCACAUCAACAAUGCAAACUCUGGCACCAUGCUGUCGGAAGAGUCGUGCAAUGCUUUCGCCAAUUCCAGAAGCUCCACCGGUGAUUAGCGCGACCUUCCCUUCCAACCUAGCCAUGAUGCAGUGGGGAGGAAUCUCGCCGCCGCCGCCG
Molecule: unclassified non-coding RNA, 261 nt
Filed under: Hevea brasiliensis (rubber tree)
Lineage: Eukaryota; Viridiplantae; Streptophyta; Magnoliopsida; Malpighiales; Euphorbiaceae
Source: RNAcentral